Molecule: ribosomal RNA, 796 nt
Filed under: uncultured fungus
Lineage: Eukaryota; Fungi
Description: eukaryotic LSU rRNA
Rfam family: Eukaryotic large subunit ribosomal RNA
Source: RNAcentral
GAACUUAAGCAUAUCAAUAAGCGGAGGAAAAGAAACUAACAAGGAUUCCCCUAGUAGCGGCGAGCGAAGCGGGAAGAGCUCAAAUUUGAAAGCUGGCGUCUUUCGGGCAUCCGCAUUGUAAUCUAUAGAGGCGUUUCUGUGCUGGACCGUGUCCAAGUCCCUUGGAACAGGGUAUCAAAGAGGGUGACAAUCCCGUACUUGACACGACAACCAGUGCUCUGUGAUACGUCUUCUACGAGUCGAGUUGUUUGGGAAUGCAGCUCAAAAUGGGUGGUGAAUUCCAUCUAAAGCUAAAUAUUGGCGAGAGACCGAUAGCGAACAAGUACCGUGAGGGAAAGAUGAAAAGCACUUUGGAAAGAGAGUUAAACAGUAUGUGAAAUUGUUGAAAGGGAAACGAUGGAGGUCAGUCGUGUCUGUGGGAUUCAGCCGUCUCUGGCGGUGUACUUCCCACAGACGGGUCAACAUCAGUUUUGGUCGGCGGAUAAAGGCAGGAGGAGGGUGGCACCCCCGGGUGUGUUAUAGCCUCUUGUUGCAUACGCUGGCUGAGACUGAGGAAUGCAGCUCGCCUUUAUGGCCGGGGUUCGCCCACGUUCGAGCUUAGGAUGUUGACAUAAUGGCCUUCAACGACCCGUCUUGAAACACGGACCAAGGAGUCUAACAUAUCUGCGAGUGUUUGGGUGUCAAACCCAAGCGCGCAAUGAAAGUGAAUGCAGGAGGGAUCCGCAAGGAGCACCUUCGACCGAUCUGGAUCUUCUGUGAUGGAUUUGAGUAAGAGCAUAUAUGCUGGGACCCGAAA